This 7309-nucleotide long non-coding RNA is filed under the name Homo sapiens (human). Its description in RNAcentral is "HSALNT0180189". Lineage: Eukaryota; Metazoa; Chordata; Mammalia; Primates; Hominidae. The record is from RNAcentral.
ACUGCCUUCAACAGGAAGAUCUUUUGAAACUCAAUUUUAAGAAGCAAUUUGACAUACAGAUUCCCUCUUCCAAAGUUUCUGGUGAGGUGAUUGCUCAUUCUCUAUCCCAAGAAAAACAGAACAUUAUGUUCUUGUGAGGGUGAUACAGAGAUCUCUGUACUUUCAGAUACCAGAUACAUCUGAAAGCAGGAAUGAUGCUGUUCCGAAAACAGGCUCAAGUGAUGGAUUGUACAUUAACUAUUCAGAUACUUCUAAUUAUCUGUAAGAUUCUUCCUCUAUCAACCAGUGAGAACACCGGUACCAGGAUUAUGGCCUCCAGUGACCUAGACUGAGACUCCAAAAAGUGCAAGAUUUGUGCCCAGAAACAAGAAAACAGUUGACAGCAAUUAAAGAAGACCUAAAUAAAUGACAAAGAGGCACAGAAGACCUAUUCUCACGAAAGAGACUCACGGUAAACAACCGAACAAAAUGACAAUUAAUAAUAAGAAGCAACUGCCAAACAGGUUAGAAUGUUUGUGUUGUCUUUACAGAAUAUUCCCCCUGGGAAGAUAAAUUAUUUCAUGUGACCGUAGUUCUUGUAAUAUGGAAUUAAACAUGGGGAAGAGGUUUAUUUGAUCAGAUAGAUUUAAGAAAUUGUGAAUGGAUGAUUUACUCACCUGCACUACAGGACUUCUCAAACCACAAAAUUUAGGUAUGAAUUCCAGAGUAUCUUGUAGAAAUGUAGAUUCUGAUUCUGUAGAUGUUGCGUGGGCUCCCAAUUUCUGAAUGUUUAACAAGCUCUCAGGUGAUAUAGAUACUGAUGUUGCUGGUCCAAGGACCACACCUGAAGGAACAAAGCACUAAUAAGACCCUGGAAAAAUCAAAGAUUCUAGUCAGCUGGUCAAUAUACUUUUCUUAAGUUCCCAGUUUUUGCCUAAUAAACUUUUCCAAGAAAAAAUACAUUUCAAUUAAAUAUGUAAAAAAUUUAUCCAUAUACAUAUAACUAUAUAACUGAUAUAUACAUAUAUGUGUAUCAAUGCUUUUUUGAGAAUAUUCUUUGGGAAUAGAUGAGCUAAAUAAAUGCAUGUAAUUACUGAAUUUCAUAGACUAUAUAUAUUCUGAUACUUAGUAUGUUUGCUAAUCUUUUCUUUCUUUCUCAGCAACCUUUAGAGGGACUUAUUAUUAGUCUAUAUACUGACUAAACUCCACAUAUUUCUUUGAACAUUGAUUGAUUCCUUCAACAAUAACAAACUAUCAUUUAUAUACAAGACAUUGCCAGUUUAUAUGAAACUACGAAGACCAUUACAUUUGGAUUACUGGACUGAGAAUUUCUCUUGGGAGGCCGAGGAGGGCAGAUCACAAGGUCAGAAGAUCAAGACCAUCCUGGCUAACAUGGUGAAACCCAGUCUCUACUAAAAAUACAAAAAAUUAGCCAGGCGUGGUGGUGGGCGCCUGUAAUCCCAGCUACUCACGAGGCUGAGGCAGGAGAAUGGCAUGACCCCAGGAGGUGGAGCUUGCAGUGAGCCGAGAUCAUGCCACUGCACUCCAGCCUGGGGGACAGAGUGAGACUCCAUCUCAAAAAAAAAAAAAAAAAAAAAAAAAGACGGAGAAUUUCUCAUAUGUGUCUUGGCAGUUUUCUAUUUCUUUUCUCUGUAAUAUGCAAUAACAUAUUUUGCCCAUUUUACUAUUGAUUUGUCAUUUCUCUUAUUAAUUUGUAGUUCUUUUUAAAUAUAGUCUGGAUACUAAUAACUUGUCAGUUAGUAAUGGCAAACCAUUUUCCAGUUUGUGUUUUCUACUUUUUCCAUGGUAGACUUUAAAGAGCAACUAUCAUUACUGUCAGUGUUGUUCAUCUCUAUUUUUAAUAAUUUUCAGUUUUUGUAAUGUUCUUAAGAACCUCUCUAUACCAAAUUGAUAAACAUAGUUUCUAAUAUUAUUUUAAAACCUUUGAAGUUGUGUCUUCCACAUAUAUAUUUUCAUUCUUCCAAGAAUUGAAAUUUUGUGUAAAGCAAGGAUUCCAUUUCUCAUUCCAUCUCACCUUGAUAUGUAUUACAAACAAUUUGUUCACAAUGUGUUGAAUAGUCCAUAAUUUCCCCCUAGGUAUGCAUCGUUAAUUCUGUUAUUGAUCAAGUUUUCAUGUACGAGUGGGUCUGUUUAUUAGCCCUACAAAUUUCAUUGGACAAUUUAUCAAUUCCACAGGGUCUCCAUUAAUAUAAUUGAUAUGAGUUAGGGCAGUUCUCCCCACUAGUUUGUGCUUUUCCAGGAAUGUCUCAGAUACUCUUUACUCUCAGAUGCAUUUCUAAUAAACUAUUGAAAAUACAAUCAUGUACCACACAAUAUUUUGGUCAAUAAUGGACUACAUAUAUGAUAGUAGUCCCAUAAGAUGAUAUUACCUUAUUUUUACUGUACUUUUUCUAUGUUUUGAUAUGUUUACAUACAUAAAUACUUUCCAAUAUGUUACAAUGGCCUACAGCAUUCAGUACAGUCCUGUGCUAUACAAGUCUGUAGCCUAGGAACAAUAGGCUACACCACAUAGCUUAGGUGGGUAGUGGGCUAUGCCACCUAGUUUUGUGUAAGUACACUCUAUGAUGUUCACACAAAGAUGAAAUUGCCUAAUGAUGUAUUUCUCAAAAUGUGUCCCCACUGUUAAGCAAUGCAUGAUUGUAUAUGCAAGACCCCAGUGAAGACUGAGUGGUUCACAAAAGAGUGACAUCUUCAUAAUUUUGAGUUUUCAUGAAAACAGUAUAAUUUUUCACCAACCUUAAGGUUCUCAUUCACAGUUUUAAAUAUAAAUUUAGAAUUUCUCCUAUACAUCUUCAUUAUAAUUUACAUUCUAUUACAAUUACAUUACAUAUAUUUUUAAAAAUUACUUUUCAAAAGUAUUUGUUUCAAGGAGAGAAAUGACUCUUGAAGUACGGAAUUCAUAACUUUUAACUGUAUAAAAUAUCUUACCGAUUAAAAUUAUAAUAUAGCUCUUAUUUUUAUUGAAAACAUAAUCAUAUAGGCAUAUGAUCUGGAAAUCAUAACUUUCACUUGUAUAAAACAUCUUAUUGAUUACAAUAAUAAUAUAGUUCAUAUUUUUAUUAAAAAAUCAUAAAGGCAUAUAAUCAUAGGCAAUACAUCUUCAUUAUAAUUUACAUUCCAUUACUAUUAUAUUACAUAUAUUUUAAAAAAUUACUUUUCAAAAGUAUUUGUUUCAAUGAUAGAAAUGACCUUUGAAAUGUGGAAUUUAUAACUUUCAAUUGUAUAAAAUAUCUUAUUGAUUAAUAUAAUAAUAUAGCUCUUUUUAUUUAAAAAUAAUCAUCUGGCAUAUAAUCAUAUAGGCAUAAUCAUAGAGGCCUAUGAUCAAAAAAUAUUCUUUUUUGCCUUGCAAAUCCAUAUUAAUUUUAACUCUGCUAAUAUUUAAUUAAAAAGUCCAGUGCACAUCACAAUAUUGUAUAUUUCCUGAGUUUUAAGUAAAGUUUUAAAUGUUUCACCAUGAAAACAUACACUCCUUGCAACUUUUGAUAACUCUCCUUUAAUAAAAUUUAAGAGAGUCCCCUUCUAGUCCUAAAUUUAGAAUUAUGUCUACAAUUAGUGGCUUAAAUUUAUCAAAUGAUCAUUCUGAAUCUAUGGAGUUGAUCAUGUUUUUUCCUCUCUAUUUUAAUAAUAUGGUGAAUAUACAUAAAUUUAAAUAUUGAAUUAGUCAUGUGUUCUCAGCAGAAUUCCAUUGAAUGCAUAGUACAUUGUUAUACAUUUUUCGUGUUUUUUUGUAGAAAUAUAUUUGAUUAUUGGUUGCAUAUCAUACUGGGUAUAAUAUUAUUUUAAUUCCUUUAAUCUCUUUUAAUUACUUUUGAUACUAUUUAUUAUUCUAAAAGUUUUCCACUUUGUCACCUUCAAAUACAAAAGUUUAAAAUGAUUCAUAGUAGCUUCUUAUUUUUUAAAAUCUGAUAUAAUCUAUUCAUCUUUGUUUAGUCAUAACAUGUUUAAUCUAUGUCAUCUUCCUUCUUUUUCUCAUCAUUGCACAAGUUUUCCAAUAUUAAGAGUUUUUUAACAAGCCCUCUAUAGUUUGAUAUUUAUUUUGGGGAAUGGUAUUAUUUAUGAGGUCAGUAAUAUAUGCUUGUAUAUUACUUCAUUUCUCAUACUUUUUUAGUUUUAAUUGUUUUGGAUAAUUUCUUCUUACGGACAUUUAGCUUAAUGGCUUUCAGCCUUUAUUAGUUACUACUGUAUACAAUUUAAAGUUAGGAGUCAGCUGGGCGAGGUGCCUCACACCUGUAAUCCCAGCACUUUGGGAGGCCAAGGGGAGUGGAUCACCAGGUCAGGAGACCAAGACCAUCCUGGCUAACAGGGUGAAAUCCCAUCUCUACUAAAAACACAAUACAAUUAGCCAGACAUGGUGGCAGACGCCUGUAGUCCCAGCUUCUUGGGAGGCUGAGGCAGGAGAAUGGGGUAAACCCGGGAGGUGGAGUUUGCAGUGAGCCGGGAUCGCACCAUUGCCCUCCAGCCUGGGCAACAGAGUGACAUUCCAUCUCAAAAAAAAAAACAAAAACAAACCGCAAAAAUUAGCCAGACGCAGUGGUAGGUGCCUGUAAUCCCAGCUAGCAGGGAGGCUGAGGCAGAAGAAUCGCUUGAGCCCAGGAGACGGAGGUUGCAGUGAGCCGAGAUCACACUACUGCUCUCCAGCCUGGGCAACAGAGUGAGACUCCAUCUCAAAAAAAUUAAUAAUAAUCAAAAUAAAAAAUUUAAAUAUCUUACAAGUUUUCAUGUAAAAUAUUUUUAUUAUUAACCAAAUGAAGUGAAAAAGUUUUCUGUAAGUAGCCUUUAAGUUUUCACAUAUGAUAUUUUCAGGAUUAUUUUCAGUCUUUUCUAAAUUCUUAUUUCUUUUUGCUAACAUAUCAUUAUAAAUAUAUUUUUCAACUUUUAAAUAUAUGAGUUAUGUUUUGUUAUCUCUGUCUUAUGGGAUCCUAAAUUGCAUUAUAGCAUGAGAAAUUGGUCAGUGUGAUAUCAGUCGCUUAAAAUUUGUUAUAUUAUUACAUUUUGGAUGAUCAAUUUUGGCAAGUGUAAAGCUAAAAAUGAUAUAUAUAUUGAUUAAUUCUUGGAUAUAGAACGAUAUAUGCAUAUCUCUCAGAAAAGUGAUGAUCAACCUGUGGUCAGCCAAAAAGUACCAGACUAAAAAUUUGUCCAUAUGUGACAAAGUAAGUACAGUUCACAAAACAUUUUUUCUUUUUUAUAUCAAGAACAAUACAUUGAUUGGUUCUGAUGUGUUUCAUUUCUCACCUCAUAUUACAAAUAGUUGGUAGCCUGGCUACUUUAAGUAGCACUGUCUUGGGUGACUUUUGUUAAUUGUGCUUUUCAAAGCUUCUAUGUCUCUACUGAUUUUAUACCUGACUUAUCUAAGAGAGGAAUAGGAACACUCUUAAUUAUAUUAUGUGCUCCUGAAUUUUGACCUGUAUUCAUAUCAAUUUUGUUUAUUAUUAAAAUGUGUGUCACUAUGAUAUGGACAGUAGGCAGGGAAAUACUGUGUAGAAGAGGGCAGGGUCUCUGGUGAAGCCCCGCUCUCAAGCCUGGACACGCGGCCCAAAGGGGGAACAUGUAUUCCUGUUUUCCCACCUGAAUGUUGCCUUUUCCAACACUCCCCUGUCUCAUCCAACCCCAUCCUGAAACCAUGAAAACCCCAAGCUCCACUGUCAGUGGGUUGGUGCGGCAGAGAAGGAGAGAAGAAAAGAAGCAUCUGAACAGUGAGAUUAAGCAGCUGGACACAUCAGUGACGAUGGUCAGAGAAGAGUUCAGCCAGGCAUGGCCAAACUCCAGGGAAGACCACCUUCACACUCCAUCCCCUUUCCAGCUCACGAUACUGCUGAGAGCCACUUCCACCACUCAAUAAAAUAGUCUGCAUUCACCACCCUUCAGUUUGUUCGUGCAACCUCAUUCCUCCCAGAUGCUAGAUGAGGACCUGGGUGCGGGUGCAAGAGGCUGUCACACUGACCCUCCACUGAGCUGUUGAACCCUUAAGCUGUCCAUGGAUGUCAAAGCUAAAAGAGUGCACUGAAACACAUGCCCUCUGGGGCUCCAAGGGUGGUGGGCAACUCCCAGAUGCUGCCAUGGGCCUGAACAAAGUUCUGCUCCUGAUGGUUGCGCAGAAGUGCUUGUCCUGGCCUCUGCACCCACUCACCGGCAUGCUCCCGCUCCUGCAAGGAUUUGAAAGCUGUGGGCUAAGUAAAUGAGCCAACCCCAUCACGAGUACCACGUAGGGGUCAAGGGAACUAUCCUGUUUCAACUACAUUUAGAAUUAACAUCUACUCCUGGUGAAGGGGGCAAUGACCACCUUUAAUUCAGUGUCCUUUUUCCUUUUUUUUGAGACAGAGUCUCGCUCUAUUGCCCAGGCUGGAGUGCAGUGGCACGGUCUCGGCUCACUGCAAGCUCCGCUUCCCGGGUUCACGCCAUUCGCCAUUCUCCUGCCUCAGCCUCCCAAGUAGCUGGGACUACAGGUGCCUGCCACCAUGCCUGGCUAAUUUUUUGUAUUUUUAAAAUUUAUUUAUUUUUAAGUAGAGACAGGGUUUCACUGUGUUAGCCCAGAUGGUCUCGAUGUCCUGACCUUGUGAUCCACCCGCCUCAGCCUCCCAAAGUGCAUUGGUGCCAACUGUUUUUAUUAAUUUGCUUAGAAAUUAACUGCUAUAAUUUUAUUCUCCAGCUUAUAUCUACUUUCUGUGUCUUUAUGUUUAAAUAUGUAUGUUCUAAACAAAACAUAAUUGAAAUUUUAACAUUUAAUUCAGCCUGCUAAUGCUAUUAAAUUAUAAAAUUAAGACUGCGUUUUUGUUACUAUUUGUAUGUCAAAAUUUGUUUCAAUCAUCUCAUUUUACAGUGAUUAGUUAAGCAAUAAUAGAUAAGUUAUAUAUAACAGUAAUGUGCUGACAGUUAUAAUUAUUGUUUCAUAAGGCCAAUAUUUGUUUAGAUUUGUCCACACGUUUACCACUCUCGUGCAGCUCUUUGUCUUACCUCUAAGUCUUUCUUUCUGGAGAAACGUUUCUGCUUGAUGGAAGUAUAUGCUUUCAAGUGACUUAAAUGGAUUUCUGCAUGUUAAACUUUUUCUGUUUUAGUUUUUUGAUAAUUGCACUACUUCAUCCUAAAAAUUGAAAGCUACUUUGUUGGAUUGCCAUUUAAUUUAACAGUGUAUUUCUCUCAUAAUUUUAAAAUAGUGCAUUGAGAGAUCAUCUACCUAUUUGCUGUUAUUGCUUUAUAGGUAAAUUUUUUCCCUCUGGCUCCUAUUAAAAUAUUCUCUUUGUUUUUGAUAUUCUGAGUUGUCUAAUGAUAACCUAGGUAUAGAUUUCUUAUUAUAUUUCCUGAUCAGAAUGAU